This 408-nucleotide ribosomal RNA is filed under the name uncultured bacterium. Its description in RNAcentral is "partial 16S ribosomal RNA". It matches the Rfam family "Bacterial small subunit ribosomal RNA", at positions 28 to 526 of the family's 1533-position model. The record is from RNAcentral.
GACGAACGCUGGCGGCGUGCUUAACACAUGCAAGUCGAACGAAGUGGCUAACGGGUGAGUAAUACGUGGGUAACCUGCCCUCCGUUUUGGGAUAAGCCUUGGAAACGGGGUCUAAUACCGAAUAAAGGGGGAUGGGCUCGCGGCCUAUCAGCUUGUUGGUGGGGUACUGGGCUACCAAGGCGGUGACGGGUAGCCGGGCUGAGAGGGUGCACGGGCACUGUGGGACUGAGAUACGUCCUACGGUCGUAAGGGAUGGGGCAGUUGGGGCAAUUGGCGAAUGGGUGAAAGCCCGAUGCAGCGACGAUGAGGGGGGGAUUAGGGCUUUCGAGUUGUAAACCUCUUGCGCUAGCGAAUGGGUAGGUGGAGAAGAAGCGCCGGCUAACUCCGUGCCAGCAGCCGCGGUAAUAC